AGGUGGUACAUAGAACAGACAAAUUCUACUUCCAUGAAAACUAUUUUAUAAUUGUGUAUUCACAUUAAUGAUCUCAUGGCUGAAUCCAUCCAAUUCAACAAGUGUAUGUUGGCCAAGAUCUACUACCUUCCAAGCACUCUCCUAGGUGUUGUGUUAGAUGUAUACACAAAAGAUAAAACUUAGUCUGCAAAUUACCAUAAGUAGUGUUGCUUUGAACCAUAGACAUUUAUUCUCUCACAGUUCUGGAGGCUGGAAGUUCGAAGCCCAGUUGUUUGCAGAGUUGGCUCCCCCUAGAGGCCCGGAGGGAGAACCUGUGCUCUGCGGCUCUGCUCUGUGCUUCUGGUGGCUUGCAGACACAUGGCUCCAAUCCGGCCUCAGUCUUCACACGACGCCCUCCCUGUAUUGGCUGUGUCUUCACAUCCUCUCCUCUAAGUGUACCUUUGUGUCCACAUUUCCCUCUUCAUGUAAGAAAACUGGCCACUGGAUAAGGGUCCUCCCUAAUAAGGUAUGGUCUCAUCUUAACUUGAUUACCUCUCCCAAGAUUUUAUUUCCAAAUAAGGUCACAUUCGCAGGCGCGAGGAGUAGAACUUGUACCUAUCUUUUUGUGUGACACAAUUCAACCUAUGCUAGAACUCUUCAGGAUGGUGAUAAUGGGAAAAGGUGCCCUUUACAUAACACCGUGUGCCAGGCAUGCCUCCACCUCAUGUGUUAUCCGUCUAAUCCUCAUGACAAUCCCAAAAAGUAAGCAAAUUAUCCUCCUACUCAUUCCACAGACAGGGAAGGCUAAAGAGAUAAAGCAACUUUCCCAAGGUUACAUAGCCAGCCUCUUAACCACUACGCCACACUGCCUCUUAGAGCUUGUAGAGAAGAGGUCGAUUGAGUAGUAACGAUAAGAGAAGCAUAAACCAAGUAUCACGGGAGACCAGAGGAGGCUGAUGCAGCUUUAGCUAGGGACAUUAGAAUUAGGCUUUUAUUUUAUUCAAUUCAAAGGUAAACAAAUAUUGCCAGAUACCAGAGGCAGUACUAAUUUUUGAAGAUACACAAUUUAAAAAAUAAAAACAAAGGCACAGGCCCUGCUUUGAUGAAGUUUAGUCUAGAGCAGAAUAAUAAAAUACAAACAGAUAAUAUCAAUGCAAUGUCUUAAAACGUAUCAUAAACAUAUGUAGAAAUUAUGGGAAUCAUAGCAGGAAAAUGGAACUUGACAUUUUAGAGUUUCAUUAUGUCUGUGUAUUUUCCACCCUCCAAAUUAGAUUAUAAAUACCUUGAGAUCUUCCGUUUCUUUUGUAUUCAUUCAAAACAGGCUUUUACAGUUCUCCCUAUACAUAGGACACUCAGUAAAAGGGAUUAUUAAGGACGCUUGCUCAAGCAAGGAUGUAAAAAUGAUAGAGCAAACCUUGUUGUCCCCCAAAUCCUUGGCUCCCCUGGCUGGUCACCACCCCCAGGAGAACCUAGGGAGACCUGUGGGCGUUGAGCAGAAGCUCACAGUGUCCCCUCUGCCAGAGUUCUCCAGCAAACUCAUUUUGACAGGGCGUCUGGGCUGAAUCUGGGGGCACAUAAAAUUCUUGCGGCCACAGAUUUGGAAUUGCAGCUCCUUCUCGAAUGCCCACACUUCUUUCUCCUGCUUUGCUUUUCCCUGCUGAAUGGGUUACAAGUAGAUUUGGGAGUUUUUGUGAUCUGUAUGUUUAAUUUCUGUUGCCAUCUGCAUUUGGGUCUUCCUUUUCAACAAGGGACACAAAUCCAGCCACCAUCAGAAAAAGGAUACCCUCGGAUAGAAGACCCAGGGAUUCCCUGUCUUCAUGCAAAUCUGCUGAGCUCUUCCUUCAGCCUCUCUCCUGAACUGUGUUGUUUCUUUUGCGUGAUCUGGCUCUAGCGCUGGGGGAAGCAGAGCUUUGAGGCUUCCCAUAUUCCUGCCUUGGGCCACUGACAGGGACAACAGCAUCUGAUAUGUACCCUUCUACAAAAAAUCUUCUGAGCCUUCCUGAUCAGAUUAUGCCCAUCCCUGAAGCAGUGAUUGUUUCCUGCCUCUGAACCUAAUGCUCUUCUUCUUACAAGCCCUCCAAAUCUAGGCCCAAUCUGCCACUUAGUUAAAGAGUUUCAUACUCAAAACAAAACUUGGCAGAAAGUGCAGUCCAGGCAAGGUAGAGGCAUGACCUCCGCUGGCCACUUAUCAAAAAAGAAAUUGUUUUCUCCCUUCCCAGCUCUCCCUUCAGUUUGUUUCUAUUGCUCCUUUUGUCUGGGUCUUGCCUUGCUUCCACUUGUGUAAUCAGUCGGUCCACUGGGUACGGACUGUGUCUAAUUGCAUGCUGUUUGCACUGCCUAGCACAUUACAGUCCUCAAUAAACAUACUAUUAUUAUGAUUAUUGUUAUGAUCUAUCAUAACAAUAAUCGCAAUUCAGUGCACAUUUCUCUAAACUUCGGGCAGCUUGGAGAGUCAAGAACAUACACACAGUCCCCUGGAUAGCCCUAAGAGCUUUGGAUAAGGAUCUAAAUUUAAGGGGUGCAUAUCUGAGCUGCACCUCCAAACCUGCAGAGAUUGGAGGGUAAUUAUCUUCCAUCCUCAGUGGGAACAGACCAUGAGACCAUUCUCCUUCCAUGCAGAAAGGGAGAAUAAGAACCAGGCAGAGACCAGAAAAGAUAGAGAAAAGAGAAACUGUGUUAAGCUGUAGUUUUUUUCAGAGACAGCAAAGACCACAGCUAGGGCUGACCCAGUGGCAAAAAGUCUGUUCAAGCAAUGAUAAGAAAAAUCAUUUACUGGGCACAUUAACUUAAGUUGUAGGAGCCGAGCUUUCCCUGGGUUGCCCAUUGGAUAAAUGCUGUCAGGAUAUGCUGUGAGCUGCUCCAAUGAGAUGUAAUAAUUGAAUUUGUUUUCAUUUAAUUUGAGGGCCUUUAAUUAAAAGCCAGGCCUGUGUGUGCAGAGAGAUAAAGCCAGGCACAUGGAGACUGGGGGUAAUUUGGGUGCUGAAUGCAAUAAUUGUAAAUUCAGAGGUCAGGGGACUGGCACUAUCUUUGUGAAAUCAGCACAGUGAGCAGGCCAUCCGGCUGGAAUGGACUCAGGAGUGGUGGAAACACACGCUUAAGUGAUUUUUUGAAACCUUAAUCGCAAUUACAGAGUAGUGUGGAGGUUAAUUUGCAAAGUUCAUUAAUCAGAGAAAUAAAUACAUCAGUGAUCACUUGAUGGAAGACAACCUGGAAAGUCUGGUUUUCCAGCCACAAUUUCCCAAACCUCCUAUUCAGUUUUGAAAUAGUACAGAAUCCACACUGUGAUUAAUCUUGCCAACCUUUAUUCGCCUUUGAACUGCUAAGCAGUAUAUUUCUCCCCUCUAGGUCUGAGGUUAAACCCAUCCACAUGACCACUUCAAAAUAAUCCAAACAUGUCUUGGAAUGAUGGGGCUAUUAGUAUCAGAAGACAGAGUUAGAAUUAAUGCCCAAUAUUAAUCCCUGGAGUUAGGAUUAGAGGGUUAACUAGAGUCUUCAAUCUUUAGAUAUAGUUGUAAUUCAUGAUAUAAAGCAAUAAAGUAAAGGUUUUGUGCGUACAUGUGAAUUGCUGCCCUGAUAAAUGGCAUUCCAUUAGAUGCACAUUUUGUGCUUGAGAGAGCUUCAUUAUGGAAACUUAUCCCGGCAUGCAGUGGUGGAGUUUCUAGAAGGCUGCUCCCUUCCAGUCUCCCCAGCAGGGUGGAGAGAUGGGAUCCACAUCCACUCCACUACCAUCAAGCAGAAGAAUUCACAGCUGGUGAGCUCCCUGCUGCAAAAGAUGGGUUGCCACCCAAUGCAAACCCACACGUGGGUGGCACCUGUGCCCAGACAUGUUUCUGGAAGUCUCCUGCUUUCAGCUUAUUUUUCUCUGGGUUAUAAUUGCUCCCUAGAGAAAGGAGGCUGACAGGUCAGAGACUGUGGUCAGAGAGGAGGAGAGUGGACUAGGUCAGAAAGUAUCUGACAGAAUUGCCUGAUGCAUUUUUAAAAAUACCCAUGCUUUAUCCUUUCCCCAGACCUCCUGCACCAGGAUUCUCAAGGGAGUCAGGUCCCUGGUAAUUCUAAAUCACCCUCAGCUAAGAACCACUGGACUAGAUAAACUCCAAGCUCUCCCCUACAUCUGAAGUCAUGUUAUUCUGGGCCGCACUUCUGGGAGCUGUACAUCCACUGUUUGCUUAGCAAUUUGCCGUCCUAGAAUGUGCAGUAAGCCCUCUCUUAACAUCAUCAAUAGGUUCUUGAAAGCCGUGACUUUAAGUGAAACGAUGUAUAACAAAACCAAUUUU
This 4253-nucleotide long non-coding RNA is filed under the name Homo sapiens (human). RNAcentral describes it as "non-protein coding lnc-JAM3-9:1". Lineage: Eukaryota; Metazoa; Chordata; Mammalia; Primates; Hominidae. The record is from RNAcentral.